UACGGAGGAUGCGAGCGUUAUCCGGAUUUAUUGGGUUUAAAGGGUGCGUAGGCGGCUUUUUAAGUCAGCGGUGAAAUUUUGCAGCUUAACUGUAACAGUGCCGUUGAUACUGGGGAGCUAGGAUUUGGUUGCUGUGGGUGGAAUGUGUGGUGUAGCGGUGAAAUGCUUAGAGAUCACACAGAAUAUCGAUUGCGAAGGCAGCUCACAAAGCCAAGAUUGACGCUGAGGCACGAAAGCCAGGGGAGCAAACGGGAUUAGA
This 259-nucleotide ribosomal RNA is filed under the name uncultured prokaryote. Its description in RNAcentral is "partial 16S ribosomal RNA". It matches the Rfam family "Bacterial small subunit ribosomal RNA", at positions 524 to 782 of the family's 1533-position model. The record is from RNAcentral.